This 1815-nucleotide long non-coding RNA is filed under the name Monodelphis domestica (gray short-tailed opossum). RNAcentral describes it as "lncRNA (ENSMODG00000045006.1)". Lineage: Eukaryota; Metazoa; Chordata; Mammalia; Didelphimorphia; Didelphidae. The record is from RNAcentral.
UACGCUCCUGAAAGCAGCAGGUUUGGGCGGGGAGGGGCUGCUUCUGUUCCACCCUGAGCUGCCUUAACCAGAAGACCCCAAAGAUGACGAGGACAGACGAGCUGCUGCUCCCCGGCCCUAACGGGCCAUCGGGCGCCCCUGCUGACCACGGCCGCUCGGGACACGGGCUGCGGCCGAGUCUCCCGCCCAGGCCCCAGCCCGGGACGCCUCUUCCGCCGGCCCGUCUUCGUUCCGAUGCUCCGUUUGAGCCACUCUUGCUCACCAGGCCUGCCCAGCCGCCCCCGACGCGUGGCGGCUCCUUGUGGCGGAAGUUCUUGGGAUCUGAAGAUUGUUGUCAAUGGAGAUGGACCGGGCGGGGGUUCCCAUGGGACCUCCCUUUGGAACGGGGGGGUACCCCGUUGGCUCCCACAGCGGUGGCGGGGGAAGGGCCGCCCCAUCUUCUCCUCAGCGUCGGGCCCCUGCCAGGAGAGGGCAGCGCUCGGGCACCGGAGGCCCCCUCGGUUUGGCUGCUCGCGGCCGUGUUCUGUUCCUGCCGAGGCUCCCUGGGACCUCCGGCGCCGAGCUGGCGGGGUGCUGAGAGCGAGGCCUUCCCCUCGGCGCCCCCCGGGAGUGGCCCUCCGACUUCAGAAAGGGGGGGCUGGGGGUCACCCCUCAAGGGCCCGCCUGCCCCUCCCCCGGGGAAUGAGCAUCCAGGGCAGGGAGGUCCGGCCUCUGGCACAGCUUCAGGGCUUCCCCCCGGCGCGGCUGCCCGCCUGAUUCUAAAGUGCCUUUUGGACGGUUGUGGUUUUGUUAAACCCAGAAUUGCACAAAAAUAAACGUGAACGGCCAUCGCCCGCCUGACCCGUGUGUUUGCCCGCGUCCGUCUGUCCCCGGGACGCACUCCUAGGAACGGCCACUUGGGGCCCCUCGGGGUUUGCCCAGGGAGGGAGGGCAGGGGCGUGCGUGGCAUCAACACGGCAGGUUCCAGGCAAGCUGGGCAAGGCCCCUACCCACUUCUUGCCUCAGUUUCCUCCUUUGUAAAAAGGCGGCCAUGAUACACGCCCGGGGGGAUCCCCUUUUUGAACAGGGACGUCCAUCCCAGGACUCGCACCCAGGGCAGCUCCUGGUCUUUCCCCUCCUUUACGGCUCCAAGUCCCAGAGCACCUGCUGCCUCCUGCUGUGCCCAGGCAGGGGCCCCCUUGGGGAGGGGGAGGACGGGCAUUGCCUGCCCUGAGCUUGUGCCCGGGGGCCACAAGCAGGGAGAAUGUCCCCCACUCAGCUGCCAGGGUAGGUGGGCAGCAGCUGCCCCCUGCGGGAAAAGGCUCACCAAAGGAGGCCGGGUUACCACCGCAGGCAUCAGGAGGGGCAGCCUCGGUGCCGGGUGGGGGGCCGCCUGCCUCCCGUCCCUCCUCAGUGGUGGCCACCAGCACGGAAGGGGCAGCCCGGCCAGGCCGUGUGCCGGCUGGGGCUGUCAUCCACGAGAGCCUGGAGCCGAGGCGGUCACGUCCAGGGUCCCCGGAGCAGCUCCGCUUGGCAGAUUAUCUUCUCCAGCCACUGAAGCAAAUGGGCCAAGGGACUCGCUCAGGGUCUCACUGCUUGUCUCUGUCUGAAGCAGGACUUGAAUUCGCAUCUACCAACUCCCAGCCAUCCGGCAGCCCCUCCGGCCCCACGACAGCACCUAGAGGUGAAGACCUGUCUGUGAGCCUCGUGGUCUCCUGCCAAGGGGGACCCGGACUUUCCCGGCUGGAGAGAGCUUGGGUUCCGGGAGGGCACGAAUUCCCCAACUGCCUGUGGAUGGGCCAAAGCCUGGGCUGGGAAAAGAGCUGCCCUCCCGGG